AGAUUUGGUGGAAGAGGUGGCUGUGCUGGCCUGUCCUCCCCCUGCUCCAAGGCAGCCCUGCAAAGCCCCCUGGAAGGAAGCCCUUCCCUGGUGGGGGAGGAAUGUCCCUCCUGCGAGGGCAACAUACUGCAGCCGAGCUCCCUGGUUAGAGCUUCCACACAAGCUCUCAGCGCCCAAUUAUGGGGGAUUUCUUUGGGGCAAAACCGAAACAGCAAAUUUAAAAAUCCCUCUGUGCUGUUUU
Molecule: small RNA, 241 nt
Filed under: Prolemur simus (greater bamboo lemur)
Lineage: Eukaryota; Metazoa; Chordata; Mammalia; Primates; Lemuridae
Description: 7SK RNA (ENSPSMG00000009494.1)
Source: RNAcentral